This is a long non-coding RNA of Hordeum vulgare subsp. vulgare (domesticated barley), 1091 nucleotides long. RefSeq lists it as uncharacterized. NCBI's taxonomy places the organism in Eukaryota, Viridiplantae, Streptophyta, Magnoliopsida, Poales, Poaceae. The transcript is spliced from 4 exons. The record is from RefSeq and is a predicted model, not a curated record.
ACCCACCGCACAUCAAUCUCUCUGUAUCUCGCAGGAACCCUAGAGCUUCGCUCCUCCCUUACGGCCGCCACCACUCUCGAACCCACCCAACACGAACUCCUCUCCCUCGCCGUCGCCCACACCGCCGCCACCCACGCCGCCCGUUUUCCGUGAGCUCCAGCCGGACGCAGCACACCGGCGAGAUUCCCUUCGUCCGCGCCUCCCUUACCUCCGUGCAGAUCCACGACUCAGCUCACCUCAUCUUCUCUUCCUUCUCUGCAGGUUGUCAUGGGCGUGCCAGCAACGACGGCAGGAGGGGCACACCUCCGUGGGACGGGACGCCGCCAUGGAUAUGUAGUCCCUUUUCCCCCCACCAUGCAGCGGCCCCAUGGAGCCUCCUAGCACCCCAAACCCUAGCGGAGAGAGAGGAAGGGCAAGGAGAUGGGCGGUCAAAGCAGGACCCGGUCACCCACCCGUCUCGCAGACGGACCCAAGCAAGCAGGGAGCGACUGGAGCAAGCCCGGCCGUCUCGUCGACGCGGACCGGAGCUGGCCGGCGAAGGGUGACAGUACGGGGCCGCCCUGAAGAAUAAGAUGUUCUCUGCAUGUCGCCUGCCUGCGCAUCGCCACCCCCGUCGACUAGCUCCACCGCAUCGCCGCGUGCGCCCCGCAACCUUUGCCCCUGCCGGCGCUCCCUCCGGCAGCGAGGAGCUCGACCUCUUCAUGGAACUGGACAUUGUGAUUGUGAAGGCAACCAACCAUAGCGAGCAUCCAUCGAGGGAGAAGUACAUAAGAGGAGAAGGCUUCAUACUUUACCAAUGCUGAGAAGCUCAAGGUCGGGUACAUGACGCCUACAUCUGAAGUCUUUGGAACUUCACCGUUGCCACGAACUGCUAGUGUAAUUGAUUGAUGAUGGAUGGUUGUUGUUGUUGGUAGAAAUGAUAGAAAGCCUUUUAGGUAGCUGCUGUUGCUGGUAGAAAUGGUAGCUCUAGUCCCAUGUAGUGUAGUUCACGUGCUUGGGCUGCCCUACGUUGUUUCAUUUUUAUGUUAAAUAAGUCUGUCAAAUGUACCUAUUGUCGUGUCGUGGCUUAUUUGAAUUCCCUCUUUGUUUCA